Molecule: ribosomal RNA, 487 nt
Filed under: uncultured Sphingobacteriales bacterium
Lineage: Bacteria; Pseudomonadati; Bacteroidota; Sphingobacteriia; Sphingobacteriales
Description: bacterial SSU rRNA
Rfam family: Bacterial small subunit ribosomal RNA
Source: RNAcentral
AAACUACAAAGGAAGUUGACGGGGCCCGGCACAAGCGGAGGAGCAUGUGGUUUAAUUCGAUGAUACGCGAGGAACCUUACCUGGGCUCGAACGUAAGAUGACUGUAGGUGAAAGCUUACAUCUCUUCGGAGCAUUUUACGAGGUGCUGCAUGGUUGUCGUCAGCUCGUGCCGUGAGGUGUCGGGUUAAGUCCCAUAACGAGCGCAACCCCUACCUUUAGUUGCCAUCAGGUUAAGCUGGGGACUCUAAAGGAACUGCCUACGCAAGUAGUGAGGAAGGCGGGGAUGACGUCAAAUCAGCACGGCCCUUACGUCCAGGGCUACACACGUGCUACAAUGGCCGAUACAGAGGGCAGCUACCUGGCGACAGGAUGCAAAUCUCCAAAGUCGGUCUCAGUUCGGAUCGGAGUCUGCAACCCGACUCCGUGAAGUUGGAUUCGCUAGUAAUCGCGCAUCAGCCAUGGCGCGGUGAAUACGUUCCCGGGCCUU